CUUCGAGGGACGCACCUUGAGACUCCUGGAAAGAGUUUCAAUUUCCCGGAGAGGGAGGGGUCACUUCCGGUGCGCCCCAGGGCAUCAUGGGAGGAGCCCGGUGGAGGGAAGGAAAGGCCGGAAGUGGCCCGCCGCCAUUGUUCGGACUUGGCGGAGGCGACGGCCGGGAGAUGCCGAAGACCCAGAAGGCCAGCUUUGAAGAAAACCUGGAAAAAAGAGAAGCCCAAGUCAUCCCCAUAGUACAGAAGACACAGUGGUGGUGAAAGGAAUGGGUCAGAUGAAUGCUUGUGGGAAGUUGGCUGCUCCAGGAGCCCCGGGGAGUGCUGAGAUGUCCUUCCAAACAAGGACCCAAACAGCUGAAGGGCUCCAGUUACCUAUGAGGAGCUCUCAGGGCUCAAGAAGUGGAACCAGUCUUUGUCCCAAUGCAGUCUCUUCCUGGCAAAGUGGAUGAGAAGGUUACUCGGUGAGCACAGAACAGAAGUUGGAUUUUCUUAUGUGCUUUUGCUAUCAAGUUCUGGUGAUCGGACGGCCUGGCCUCCAUUUCUUUAAGGCUAUUUUAACGUACAGGGUCCAGAUCAAUCGUGCAAAGCCAGAGUGCCUUUUGGACCUUCCGGUGAUGAAUUGACAGAUGCUCACUGCCCCAUUUUCCCUUUGCAAAUAUUCGUGCAGACCACCGCCCUGCCAUUCACACCCGUUGCCACAACAGUUUCUAAGUGCUGGACAGGUUCACGUGGAGCUUGGCUGCUUGCAUACUCAAGGCAGGCACUUUAAUCUCCACGGUCAGGUCACUCCGAAGCACUCUGCAGGAUGGGUUACUUCUGGAAAGCUGUCCUGUCGACAGCUAAUCCCAUCCUUCUUGCGGGCUUGACUUUCAGCGAUGGCAUCUGCUGAGCUUUG
This is a long non-coding RNA of Hyaena hyaena (striped hyena), 897 nucleotides long. RefSeq lists it as uncharacterized. The transcript has 4 exons. The record is from RefSeq and is a predicted model, not a curated record. Lineage: Eukaryota; Metazoa; Chordata; Mammalia; Carnivora; Hyaenidae.